This 341-nucleotide long non-coding RNA is filed under the name Lathyrus oleraceus (garden pea). RNAcentral describes it as "Pisum sativum (pea) long non-coding RNA (PSAT_LNC033113)". The record is from RNAcentral. Lineage: Eukaryota; Viridiplantae; Streptophyta; Magnoliopsida; Fabales; Fabaceae.
AAAUUCCUAAAACCUCAUCAAAACACCAAAGAAAUGGCCAUGAGAUUUAUCAUAGGUCAAACAAGGUCAAAGGACCUUGGAGAAAAAAUUUAAGAAUUUUUAAAGACUUAAAAGUAUUUUUAAACAAUUAAAAACAAACACAAAAUCAAUUAAAUCAUGAAAAAUAUUAAUAAUGAUCCAAAAAAUAAUUUUAAUUCAAAAUAUGAAAGAGGAAAAGAUUAUUUGAAUUUUUUUGGUGAAACACAUAUUUUUUGGAUCAAUAUUAAAAUUAAUAUGAAUUAAUGAUAAUAAAAGGAAUAAAAUAAAAUCAGAAAAUAUGAAAAAAACAUGGACCACUUGAU